This 87-nucleotide transfer RNA is filed under the name Candidatus Omnitrophota bacterium. Its description in RNAcentral is "Candidatus Omnitrophica bacterium (aquatic metagenome) tRNA-Leu". It matches the Rfam family "tRNA". Rfam says of the family: Transfer RNA (tRNA) molecules are approximately 80 nucleotides in length. Their secondary structure includes four short double-helical elements and three loops (D, anti-codon, and T loops). Lineage: Bacteria; Pseudomonadati; Candidatus Omnitrophota. The record is from RNAcentral.
GCCGAGAUGGCGGAAUUGGCAUACGCGCCGGUCUCAAAAACCGGUGAUCGAAAGAUCAUGAGGGUUCAACUCCCUCUCUCGGCACCA